GCACUACAGACGAGUCCCAAACAGGACGAAACAGCUGUCUAGUGC
Molecule: non-coding RNA, 45 nt
Filed under: Echinostoma caproni
Lineage: Eukaryota; Metazoa; Platyhelminthes; Trematoda; Plagiorchiida; Echinostomatidae
Source: RNAcentral